Molecule: ribosomal RNA, 282 nt
Filed under: uncultured bacterium
Lineage: Bacteria
Description: partial 16S ribosomal RNA
Rfam family: Bacterial small subunit ribosomal RNA
Source: RNAcentral
ACUCCUACGGGAGGCAGCAGUGGGGAAUAUUGCACAAUGGGGAAAGCCCAUCGAUGCAGCCAUGCCGCGUGUGUGAAGAAGGCCAAUUCGGGCUUGGUUAAAGACACUUUUCAGUAGGGAGGAAGGUAGUGUAGUUAACACCUGCAUUAUUUGACGUUACCUACAGAAGAAGCACCGGCUAACUCCGUGCCAGCAGCCGCGGUAAUACGGAGGGUGCGAGCGUUAAUCGGAAUUACUGGGCGUAAAGCGCAUGCAGGCGGCCUGUUAAGUCAGAUGUGAAAG